CUUAAUAAAUAUAUAGCAAUGAUUGUAUUAAUUAAUAUACUGUUAAUAUUAAAUACAGUGGAAUCUUUAAAUUUAAUGUACGAAGGAGUAUGUGAAGAUAGGUAAAGUAUGAAAUAAAUUAUUUGUAUUUUUACAAAGUUGUAUACGUUACGUUCUUUCAAAAGUAAUUUUGGUUAACAUUUGAUAGUCUAAAAUAUUCAGUAAUUUGAUAAAAAUACAAGUUUGGUAUGAGGAUUUAUGAUGUAUAUUCACUGAAAUGACGAUUGAAAAUGUUUGAUCGAACUGUAUGUGUGAGAGAGAGAGAGAGAGAGAGAGAGAGAGAGAGAGAGUUAGAGAGAGAGAGAGAGAGAGAGAGAGUUCUAUUGAAGAUUUGCAUUCAGUGCAAUUAUACAAAACGUUUGAACUUUGUAUAUUGAUGGGGAAACAUUGACUUCAUUUAUAAACAUUUCCUAUCGAUUUCAAAAGUUCCAGAAUAACCUUCGGGUUAAAUGCAACAAUAGAACCUAAACCUACAAAUCUAUCACUCGAUUGUGACACUACUGCAUGAAACGUGUUAAUGUCGGGUGCCUGUCUUAAAGUUGUUACUGAAUACGGGUUCCGAACAAUGGAAGCACCAAUAUGAAUAAAAUUUUAACUUAAAGUAAAGUGUGUCUAAUUUUCUUUAUCUUGUCUGACGCCUAAAGAAGGAUAUGAGAUGAAUACAAUCAAAUAUUCAAUGAUGAAGAGUUCACAUAACAAAACUAUCUAGGUUAUUCCCUUAAUCAAUGGUCAAAACCCCAAAAGGCUGUCUUUCGGCAGUAUGUAUAAAAAGUAAUGGUCUAGGAGUAACAACAUCGGUCGUUGAUUAUCAUUUUUGAAUCCACUUCUCCCUAUACAUUCUAUACUUAUUUAUCAAAUAUGUUUUUAGUUUAAUAUAUUCCGAUAAUUCAUGUGUAAUCAUAGUAGAAUAUUCUUAAGUAUAUAAAGAUAUAAUAAUAAAAUAUAAUUAUUGCUUUAAAAAAGAUUGUAGGCGGUCUUUCCCUUUAAAUUAAUUGAUUUGGGGGGGGGGUUUGUUUUGUUGUUUUUGUUUUGUUGGGGUUAAUUUGUUACGGAGAGUUUCAUGUUAGUUUGGAAGUUUUUCUUUAUUUGGUAAGCGCGCGCGCACUCACGUGACACGGGUAUAUACGAAAGUGUCUUUUUAUUUAUUUUUAGGUGGGACUUUGACAAAAAUGUAUGAGCGAUAACCAAUGUAAUUUUUGUCAUUGUAGGAAAUUGACAUUUGGCAAAGUUCAGGGCAGUGAUGUUUUGGUUUAUUGAUCGGUGUAACUUUAAAACAUUUAUUGAUUAUUCUGUAUUGUAAUUUUCAGCACUGUUUGUAAACAAUUAGUAUUUAAUUCGGAGCGGACAUUUUAUUGUAGGUUUUUACUGAGAUUUACGGACCUAGCAAGCGAUUUUUACGGCAUUGCCAUUUCUUUUGUCUAGGAAAAGCUUUGAGAGAUAUCUGCACCAAGUUUUUUUAUAAACUUUCAGUACAUGUAUGCCCUGCUGACUGCAAAUUUUGAGGUCGAUUGUACUUGUAGUUUCAGAGUACAUGUGGAUUUUUUUUCAGAAGUGACGCAAGAACAAUAUUGAAUUUCGAUUUUUCAUGAACUGAUAUGAUUGAUUGAUAGUUGAUUUAUUUAUUGAUUGAUGAUUGAUUAGUUGGUGGUUGGUUGGUUGAUUAACAGUUGGAUAGGGUCAUUGAACAGCGAAAGGACAAAGAAGAUUCGGACGUAUAAACCAUGAGACGGAUACAUGUUGAUUGAUCAUGUCAUGAUUGAUAUGAUCAUGAUGAUGAUUGAUUAGUUGUUGGUUGGUUGGUUAACACGUUGAUAGGGUCAGUUGAAAAGCGAAAAGAACAAGAGUCUUGGACGUAUAUAACAUGAGACGGAUACAUGUUGUUGUUGAUCGAUCAUGAUUGAUUGAUUGAUUGAUGAUUAGUUGGUUGGUUGUUUGGUCAAACAGUUGGAUAGGGUAGUUGAAACAGGAAAAGAAACAAGAAGAUCUUGAACCUAUGAUAACACCGAGACGGUUCGUGAUUGAUUGAUUGCAUGAUAAAUUUUGUUGACUGAUCAUGAUUGAUUGUUGAUUGAUUGUUGGUUGGUUGGUUUUGGCAGCAACACACAUAAAACUUUCAAGUAGUGCCCAUAAUAUGUAAUGACUUGACCUUUACCUGUGACUUUGUCAAGGCAUUUCUUAAAUGUCAUUGCAGAAGACCCUAUGGGUCAGUAUUUUUUUAGGUUUUGUCUAAUAAUGGCUUUUAUAAACAUCAAUGGGGAUAUGUCUUACCAUGUAAAACAUAUAGUCAUAAUGUAACAAAGUUGCCCCUUGAGUUUACAUUUUUCACUGCUUAAAUUUCUGUAUUAUAACCAUUUAGGAAUUAUAGGGAAUCAAAGACAUAUGAAAAUCUCAAUUGUUGACCUUUGACUUGACUAAUUUUCAUUUUUUUGGCCAAGGACCUCAAAUCAAGAUCUAUGUCUCUGCUUAUGGUUUAAGUAGAAAUGCUAUCACUUAAACAAAUGCAUAGGGGAAAUAACUCUCAUAUGGAGCGUUCAUAUCGCUCGGUCAAAAUAGGAAUUCAUGCGAAGGAUAUAACGAAUUUGUCAUAUUUUGUGCGAAGGAGUUCUAAGGAAAACAGUGUUUGGGGAGAUAACUCCUACAAAGAAAAGUUUCGUUUAGCGGGUAAUUCAAAGCGCAUAAACUGUCGAUUCAUAUAAAAUAUUAGCGACAAUGCGAACAAUGUUUAUCGCAGAACAAAAUUAGCGGAAGAAAAAAAAAAAAUUAAUAGAAAAUAAAUAGGCUUCCAGAAAGUGGAGACCUAUAUAAUGAUAAUAAAUACAAUAUUUAUAGAGCGCAUUAUAUAAUAACAAAAAUUACUCUUAAGAGCUUUACAUUUAAAAAAAAUAUAUAAAAUACAAAAAUACAUAAAACAUAGAUUACAAAGCACUAUCUUAAAAGAAUCAAACAAGCAUAUACAAAUUUAUAAGAUACUUAAAAAAGAAAAAAAGAAAUAAAAGAAAUGAAAAAUGCAUGGACCCUAAAAUAAACAAAACUGUCUAAAACUAAUGCAGUCGAUUAAAAAUAUAUAAAAUCUACAAGAAAUCCUUAAAACACAGUCCGAAAUAAAUGAGUCUUGAGUUGCUUUUAAAAAAACAUGUAAAGAAUCUACACUCCGUAAGACGAUGGCAAAUUGUUCCAGAGUGUAGGUACAGUGUUGUCAAAACGCCUCUCACCGUAGCUUUUCGUUCGAACGUCAUUUGGAGGAUGUAUGAGCAUACUAUUUUCCGACCUGAGGGAUCUGAAGGUAACUAGGAGCCUUACCAUGCUGUGCUUUGUGCACAUAUAAAAGAAGCUUACAUUGGCAACGGUAAUGUAUGGGUAGCCAGUGUAACGAUAUUAAAACAGGCGUAAUUGAGUCAAAUUUCCUUAUUCGUGUUAUCAAACGUGCUGCUGUGUUUUGGACCCGCUGCAAUUUACUGAUAAUGUUGAUGUUAGUACCGUACAAUAAUGAAACCAACUCGAAUGUCGAAUGUUAGCAUAUAUUAAAUGUGUGAUAAUAGUCUUGUUUAACUAAUUAAAAGUUUAUUUAUUGACGAUUGUCUGUCAUUUUUUUUUAGUUUUGGAAGAUUGGUUUGUUGCUUUAAUUACGAAGAUGUUAAUGGUGUUUGUAUCGGUAGGUGAAUAUAUUUACGAGGUCAUAACUAGUAAAUAAUGUAUAUAGAUACAUUAAAUUAAAAUGCAAUAAUGACUUUGUUCCAUAUUGUUAUUAAAGCAUUAUUUCAUGUUUUCCUUGAUUGGACUGCCAAAAUCGGUUAAAAUAUAUUUCACCCAAAAAGGACAUUAAUCCGAAUUUGUGAAUUUGUAACAAGUACGCAUGUGUUACAUACUUCAAUUAUACAGCAAUGUAACAUCACAUAAAAAACCAAACAAACACUAUUAGAAGUAAUAACUUAAGAAGAAGGAAUCAGAAUUGAUAACGUGACAUAAUUCUAUCAAACAAUUUUCGUGUUUUAGUUUUUUAUAUAUAAGAACAAACAGAUAUGGUCUUAAAAGUAUACUAUAUCUGUAAUAAUUCUACCUAUUGGUCACAUUACGACAUUAUGAGCAAAGUCAAAAUCAUAUUGUCCGCUGCAAAAAGAUGCCGACAUCACAGUAUGUAGAACAAUUCAGAUAAAAAAAGCCGACGGCAAGAUUUAUUACUCAACAAAGUCAAAAAUUACAGACCUGCAAUCAAAAAAAGGCAACAGUAGUAUACCGAAAUUCACAAAUCAAUUGAAAAAAAAUCCGGGUUACGAACUAAAACUGAACACAUUAACGAACUAUAAUAUAACAAUGGCCAUUUUCCUGACUUGGUACAGGAUAUUUUAAGAAAAAAAUAGUGGGUUGAACCAGGUUUUGUGACAUGCCAAACCUCCCGGUUUUAUGGCGAUGUUAAAUAUAAUAUUAAAUUGACAUUACAUGACAGGACUACAAUACAAAUAAAUGGGAGAACAUAUACGACAGAGAAAGACACGAAUAGUAGCUAAAUAAAGGGACAAGGUUUAAAAUUUUAUACGCAAGACGCGCAAAACUACACAGUGACGCUCAGAUGAAAAAAUGUUGAAAGCCAAAACAAGUUCAAAGUUAAGAACCAAAAGUUCCAAAAUACAAUUAAUAAUAGACUCCUCACUUUGCAUAAUCAUCAAUACAGCAAUCUACACAAAGUAUCGCUGAACUUGACUGCAAAUCAGUGUUAUAAAUCACUGCAUCACAUGGCUUGAUCUCUUAUUUUAUCAAAACGAUAAUAAAUUGAAAAAACCAAGGUGUUAAUUAUUUGAAUAAAAGCGUCAAAGGGUGGGCAAGUUUUAUUAACGACGAAUUAUGCAUAACUGACCAUUACUUUUAAUUAAGUUCAAUUCAAAUAAUUAUCAUUUGCAAUAGAUUGUUAUCUUAAAGACCUUCAACUUUAGUUAUUUCAUGUCUGUAUUUAAUUAGAUACGGUAUAUCUAAACGUCAACGUUUCAACGGGUUUUUAUGAUUAAUUUUGAAAAACCUGUGUAAUUAAUGCAUUAUGCAGGUUAUCCAAAAGUUGAUGAAAAAAUUCGAGAAAAAAUUAACAUAAGAAUGAAUAUUUACGACUACACAGAAUUCUAAAAAGUCUUCCGGCUUAACAAAAGGCUUCAUAAGCAUAUGCAAAAUGUAUGUUCCGACAGUACAGACUAGAAUUGGUUCUUUUUGUAUUGGAGAUUAAAAAAUAUGUCAACAUGUAUACUUAUUUUUCUUGAAGACCUUUCCUCACCUAGACUUAAGAUACAACAAUAUUUGUAAGUUAAAGAAUAUACAUAACUUUACUCACUGCCCAAUACAAAUUUUAACAAUCAGAUUUGUGUUCUUUGAUAGACAAUUCUACGGUCGUUGGUACUAUGCAUUUUACUAAUAUUUUAAAGUAUAAUCAAUAAUGCAUCAACACGCAUCAAACCAAUUUUCUUAUGUUGAGAACAUAAAGGCUGACAUAAUGUAUUUAAUAAACAUGAUUAACUGAUUGAGUUUCAACAGCGUGUAUGCACGGAUUUAUGAAUUUUGAUGGUGGCCAAUGCAGACCUUGUUCCAGAGGAUUCUACGGAAUAAAAUGUUUCAGCAGGUGUCACUGUUACAUGAAUGAGAA
Molecule: long non-coding RNA, 5662 nt
Filed under: Mytilus galloprovincialis (Mediterranean mussel)
Lineage: Eukaryota; Metazoa; Mollusca; Bivalvia; Mytilida; Mytilidae
Source: RNAcentral